AAGCUACACUCUGUGUCAGAAGUCCAGCUGGACAAUGAUCUGACUCAAUUUGAGUUUUGCUAUAACAAAGUCUCUUCAGUCUCUGUUCAUUGAGAACUCCUCCUUGGAAUUCUGUCGACACAAAGACUGGCACAAU
Molecule: small nucleolar RNA, 136 nt
Filed under: Labrus bergylta (ballan wrasse)
Lineage: Eukaryota; Metazoa; Chordata; Actinopteri; Labriformes; Labridae
Description: Small nucleolar RNA SNORA28 (ENSLBEG00000007196.1)
Source: RNAcentral